GACGAACGCUGGCGGCGUGCUUAACACAUGCAAGUCGAACGGAAAGGCCCUGCUUUUGUGGGGUGCUCGAGUGGCGAACGGGUGAGUAACACGUGAGUAACCUGCCCUUGACUUUGGGAUAACUUCAGGAAACUGGGGCUAAUACCGGAUAGGAGCUCCUGCUGCAUGGUGGGGGUUGGAAAGUUUCGGCGGUUGGGGAUGGACUCGCGGCUUAUCAGCUUGUUGGUGGGGUAGUGGCUUACCAAGGCUUUGACGGGUAGCCGGCCUGAGAGGGUGACCGGCCACAUUGGGGAUUAGAUUCGGCCCAGAACCCUACGGGGGGGCAGCAGUGGGGAAUAUUGCACAAUGGGCGGAAGCCUGAUGCAGCAACGCCGCGUGCGGGAUGACGGCCUUCGGGUUGUAAACCGCUUUCGCCUGUGACGAAGCGUGAGUGACGGUAAUGGGUAAAGAAGCACCGGCUAACUACGUG
RNAcentral lists this ribosomal RNA (469 nucleotides) under uncultured bacterium. RNAcentral describes it as "partial 16S ribosomal RNA". It matches the Rfam family "Bacterial small subunit ribosomal RNA", at positions 28 to 507 of the family's 1533-position model. The record is from RNAcentral.